RNAcentral lists this long non-coding RNA (222 nucleotides) under Homo sapiens (human). Its description in RNAcentral is "HSALNT0079129". Lineage: Eukaryota; Metazoa; Chordata; Mammalia; Primates; Hominidae. The record is from RNAcentral.
GAAAAGGAACGCUGAAUGUUGUCUUACUAAUCAGGAACGGAAAGGACAGAACCCCACAAGGGCAGACACACUGUAAGCUGGAAUAUUCACAAGACGGGGCAACGUGCAAGGCUGGAGACAGUGUCUAUGGAGAUGAGGCAAUGAGAUGUGUGGACAACUGGAAGCCUGUGAAAGAAGAGACCUGUGCAGCCAAACAAGGUUUGGGAACCAGCACAGUAGCUG